UACGUAGGGCGCAAGCGUUGUCCGGAAUUAUUGGGCGUAAAGAGCUCGUAGGCGGCCUGUUGCGUCCGCUGUGAAAUCCCGGGGCUCAACCCCGGGCCUGCAGUGGAUACGGGCUGGCUGGAGGCAGGCAGGGGAGAACGGAAUUCCUGGUGUAGCGGUGAAAUGCGCAGAUAUCAGGAGGAACAACCGUUGCGAAGGCGGUUCUCUGGGCCUGUUCUGACGCUGAGGAGCGAAAGCGUGGGGAGCGAACAGG
RNAcentral lists this ribosomal RNA (253 nucleotides) under uncultured bacterium. Its description in RNAcentral is "partial 16S ribosomal RNA". It matches the Rfam family "Bacterial small subunit ribosomal RNA", at positions 524 to 776 of the family's 1533-position model. The record is from RNAcentral.